AUUGGAUGUUAGAGGAUUCUGCCACCUAGCUUAUUUUAUUUGUAUUUAAGUGAAUAUACCAAACAUUUAUAUGAGCAAACCAAGUUUUACAUAACAUGCUUUUGGUAUGUAUUAUGACUUUUUACAUUUCUACUUGGAUUUCCUCUUCAGAUCUCAGUUUCCACAAAUCUGCAUCCAGGUUCAGGGCCUCUGAUUCUGCACAAAUCAUAUGAGCCAAGUGGAUUGAUUACUAGACAGAUCAGAUCCUUCCCCAGCUAAUAACUCUGCCUUCUGAUUCCAGUCCUCAAAAUAAAUUGCAGCCUGC
RNAcentral lists this long non-coding RNA (304 nucleotides) under Homo sapiens (human). RNAcentral's name for it is "LHRI_LNC799.1". The record is from RNAcentral. Lineage: Eukaryota; Metazoa; Chordata; Mammalia; Primates; Hominidae.